UACGUAGGGUGCGAGCGUUGCCCGGAUUUAUUGGGCGUAAAGGGCGCGUAGGCGGCUCGGCACGUCCGUUGUGAAAUCGCCCGGCUCAACUGGGCGGGGUCAGCGGAUACGGUCGAGCUUGAGCAAGCUAGGGGGUAAUGGAAUUCCCGGUGUAGUGGUGGAAUGCGUAGAUAUCGGGAGGAACACCAGUGGCGAAGGCGACUUUCUGGUCUGUAACUGACGCUGAGGCGCGAAAGCGUGGGGAGCAAACAGG
RNAcentral lists this ribosomal RNA (253 nucleotides) under uncultured bacterium. RNAcentral describes it as "partial 16S ribosomal RNA". It matches the Rfam family "Bacterial small subunit ribosomal RNA", at positions 524 to 776 of the family's 1533-position model. The record is from RNAcentral.